Equus caballus (horse) is the source of this 5628-nucleotide non-coding RNA. NCBI's taxonomy places the organism in Eukaryota, Metazoa, Chordata, Mammalia, Perissodactyla, Equidae. The record is from RefSeq and is a predicted model, not a curated record.
GCUGAGGAGUGGGGUGAGGGGGCAUCAGGAGGGAGCACCAGAGGGGCCCUGGUCUCUCUCCCAGCCAGGCCUCCUGCCGGGACCCCUGCCAACUCCCCCUUUUGAAGCCCCGCCACCUCCCCCCUGCCCCAUGGCUCCAGGCCCGGGAGCCUCCCCUUCACCACUGUCAUGGUUGAAAAGAAGUUGGGGAGGAGACCCCACUGAAGCACAGUCUUCAAAGUGUGUCUGGGAACUCCUGCGGGCCCUCGGGGCCUGGGGAGGCACCCUGAAUCCCCCUGGGCCUCAGUUUCUCUCCAGAAGACAGGCCCAGAACCAAGAGGAACCUUUGAGGAUGGGGGUGGGGUGAGGCAUGUGCGGGCUCCCCUACCCUGCCUGGCAGGCCGUGGGCGUCCUUGGCAGGAGCCAGCCAGUCCGGGCUCCGGAGGAGGAGACCGGAUGGGGGUGGGAAGCAGCCAGCUCUGGAAGAAGGAGCAGAACAGCCUCUGGCUCCCUGGGAAGGGCCUCCAUCCUCCCCACCCAGAGAGGCUGCACUCCGAUGGGCAGUGGCCUCCUGUGAGGAGCCACACUCGCCUCUGAUGGAGGAGGGGAGGAGGCUGUCUUGGGUCAUGGGUGGUCGUCGCCCAAGCCCCCGGCCCACAGGCGCUCUGGUACAGAUCCCUGGCGCUCUCCAAAGGCCUGGGCCUCAGUCCCCACGUCUGACAGCUGAGGAGCGUCUGGUUCCCACCUGCUGGCUGCCUGGGCAGGGUCGGGGCUCUGAGUGCUUGGGUUCACGGGGCUUCAGAGGCUGCCCUUGCCCCCCCAACUUUCACCUCCUUCCCAGGUGGCUAGAGGGGCUGUGGACCCCAGACACUGGAACCCAGGACCUCAAAACCCAGUUCCUGGCAUCCCAGACUUCAGAACCCCAGAGCAGGGAACCCUGGACCCAGAACGUCCGCCAGAGCUGGGCCGCUGGGUGUCACGUGAGCUCUUUCACUGUCUGGCCCUCGGCUUGGAUGCUUUCUUUCAGUCUCCCAGGAUGUGGCCCAAGCAGCAAGGCCCGCUGGAAUGGAGCACCUUCCCACAGAAUCUUGGGCUUCUUCUCUGGAAUCUCCCAGUCUCCACCUCUGGCCUCUGGACCACCAUUCUACUCUCUGUCUCUGUGAAUUUGGCUACACCAGGUCCCUCAAAUAAGCGGAAUCAUGCUGAAUAAUACUCCACUGUAUGGAUAUACCACCUGUCAUUUAUCCUUUCACCCACCCGUGGACACUUGGGUUUUUUCACCCUUUGGCUACUGUGAAUAACGCUGCUGUGAACAUGAGGCACAAACGAGGAAGCUUUUUUGAUGGUAGGGAAUUCACUUUAACCCACAUCGGAGCAAACGAGUGCACCACACGCCCAGCACGAAGACCUGGAGCCGCCGAAGCAAGACGGGUGAUAUAACCACAAACUCUGGAGGCUGACGGUGGAGACGGUGUGCUAUCGGGAAGUCAGCCCCCGCUGCGGGCACGGCUUGGGUUUGAGAAAAUGUGAGCUGGUUAAGCGGAGGUGAGCCUGGGCCUCUCUUCCUGCCUCUCCCUCUCCCAUGCCCUCAGCCUCCGGCCCUGCUUGCUCUCCUCUCUCUCCUCACCUUAACCCCGACUUAGUGCACCCGGAUGCCACCCAAGGCCCCACAUGUCCCUCUCCGACCGUUUUGGCGCCAGAUCCCAGGGAGGCAUCUGAUUGGCUCUGCUCUCACCAGGCUACCCCUGAUAGGUCACUGGCCAGCCUAUGGAUGGGCUCUCCUUGGUCAAGUGUCCAUUCCUGGUCCAAUCACCCGGGGAGAGCAGUCUCGCACGUGUUGGGGGUGGGCUGCAGUUCUCCCAGUGGUCCGCUCUCAGAUUCCCCGCUCCUGUGGCGGGCGUAGGGGGUGGCGUGGGCAGGGCAUGUUCAGGUUUAACAGCGCCCUUGGUAGUCUGAGGGGGGCUGCAAGGAGCGGAUGUGGAGGACCCUAGGCAGGCCAGAGGGUCUGAGCUGACUGCCCUGUGAACCCCAAGCCUGACAAUAACCAAGGGAGGGGGCGGAGCGGGGGAGCAGUCCUGCCCCUGGGCCGAGACUCGCCUGCGCCCCUUCUCUUAAGGAGGCACCUGGGUCUUGGUGUUUGGAGAGUUGGUCGGUGCAGGGUGUGUGUGUGGCGGGGGGAGCCAGUGCCCCUUUCUCACUCAGGGAGCCCCACAGUGCGGGCUUCAGCUCCUGAGCUUUUCCUGACCUUGUCUUAAGCCCCAGGGUGUCCUGUCUGGAGUCUGGGACCCUCUGCGCCGGUUCUUCAGCGAGUCUCUGAGCGCGGGGGUCUGCAGGUACCUUUUGGGUUCAGGCUCAAGUCAGUGCAACCCUGUCCCCACAGGACGCGGGGGACAGGGGUUGGCGUGUGUGUGCUGCUCUCCCCGCCAGGCACACACUCGAUCUACUUCUCCCAACGGAUCUUCCCUCCCAGAAACGUCUGCCAGGGGGCCAGGCCCCCCACCCCAACACAGCAGCGUCCCUAAUUGCCCCGUAUUAAUUGCCCGCCUCACCCGUGCAGCUGGGCGGGGCCUCCCCUGGGCCCGGAGCGCGUUAUUGGAAGGAAACUGAUUUCCCCAGUUUGGGAGAAUUCAGACUUGGGGGUUAACUUCUUGUGGUUUUCGAGCAUUUAUCAUUCAAAACAGGUUUCAUUCCCUCCCGGAGGGUUUUCUGUAAACAACUCAGAAGUCACCCCACAGCACCCGGGCUCCUGCCCAGCUGGGGUUCCUGACCUAGGGGACACCGCAGCACUACAGAGGCCCCAAGGGUUCGGGGCCUGAAACCUGGAGGGCUCAGGCUGCCCCGCCCCGCGGCUCUCGCGGAGCGCAGCCCGUCCGAAGGCCUCGCCCUCGCUCCUUUCCUUUUGUUUUUGAGUUUUAUUGAUGUAUAAUUUAUAUGCCGUAAAAUUCCCCCAGUUGUAAGGACAUAAUGAUUUUUUAGAAAAUUUACAGAGCUGUGCAACCAUCACCACAAUCCAGUUUUAGGUCAUUUUCAUCGCCGCCUCCUCCCCGCCCCGCCCCGGCCAUGUUCCUGGUGCCUCUGUGCGGUCAGUCCCAGCUCCCACCCCAGCCCCAGGCAACCGCCGACCUGCUCUCUUCCUCGGAGACCUGCUCUCCUUAUCUCUAGAUUUGCCUUUUCUACACACGUCAGGUAAAUGGAAUCACACGUUAUGUAGUUUUCUGUUUAUUUCUCUAUUUUUAUUUUUAUUAUUUUUAUUAUUUUUAAAGAUUUUAUUUUUCCUUUUUCUCCCCAAAGUCCCCCGGUACACAGUUGUAUAUCUUUUUUAGUUGUGGGUCCUUCCAGUCGUAGCACCCGGGACGCGGUCCCAGCACGGCCCGACGAGCGGCGCCACCUCUGCGCCCAGGACCCGAACCAGGGAAACCCUGGGCCGCCGAAGAGGAGCGUGCGAACCCAACCACUCGGCCACGGGGCCGGCCCUCUUUCUCUAUUUUUAAGAGAUCUAGCAUUUUAACACAAUUUUAAGUGUAAAUACAUUCUUGUUGAUGACAGAUGUUUGGUUUGUUUUACCUCGCAUCCUGUUUUUUAAGUUCCUCCUGUUGUAGCUUGUGUCAGUAGUCAAUUCCUUUUUAUUGCUGAAUAAUUUCUAUUGCAUGGACAUGCUACAAUUUGGUGAUCUAUUCACCCUUUAAAUGGCCACGUGGACCUGUGUUUGCAUUUUCUCACUAUCAUGAAGAAUGCUGCUGUGAAUGUUCAAGUCCAGAUCUUUAUGUGGAUGUGUUUUCAUUUCUCUUAGGCACAUGCCUAGGCGUGCAAUUGCUGGGUCAUGCAGCAAGUGUAAGAAACUGCCCAACUGUUUUCCAAAGUGGCCACACUAUUUUACGCUCUCACCCGCAAUGUGCAAGAGUUCCAGAUGCUCCACACGCUUGUCAACAGUUGGCAUGGUCAGUCUUUUUAAUUCUAGAUAUUCUAAUAGGCUUGUAGUGGUAUCUCAUUGGGGCUUUAAUUUGCAUUUCCCUAAUGACUAAUGAUGUUAAACGUCUUGUCAUGUGCUUAUCUGUAUAUCUUCUCCCGUGAAGGGUCUGUUCAAAUCUUUUGCCUCUUUUAAAAACUGGGUUGUGUGUCUUAUGAUUAAGUUCUAAGAAUUCUUGAUAUAUAUCGAUAUAUUCUGGGUAUAUGAUUUGAAAACAUUUUAUCUCAACCUGUGGCUUACUUUUCAUUUUAUUUGAAGUGAAAAUGUUUUUAAUUUUGACAAAAUACAAUUUAUCAAUUUUUUUCUUUUGUAGAAAAAAUAUCUAAGACCUCUUUGUCUAACCCAACAUCAUGAAGAUUACCUCCCAUGCUGAUUCUAGAAUUUACCUUCUUUUGCUCACCCCCUAUUUCCUAUGCCUGACAGUCCCUCCUCCUCCAUUCUUUCUCCUUCUAUUCAGGCACCCCACUUUUGUCCCCUUUCAGCAGUGUUUUUUUUUUUUCUUUUUUGAAUUCCCAAAUCAGAUCGCACUCCACGAGGGCAGGGCUGUUUCUGUGUUUGGUUCACUGACGAGUCCCAAGUGCCUGGAACACUGCCUGGCAUGCAGUAGACGGUCAGUAGAAAUAAGCGAGAUUCCGUCAUAUUGUUCUUGGGUGGCACCGCAUUGCACUUGGAGAAAAGUCCAACCUCAUUGUCCAGGCCUAUAAGAUCCAGCCUGAUCUGGCCCUGCCCAGCCUGCCCCCUUGCCUACUCCUCGCCUGCCACCCUGGUCUUCUCUCCAAUCCACAAAACUGCCAAGCUCAUUCCCAUAUGAGGGGCUUUGCUUUAUCUGUUCCCUCUGCCUGGAAUUCACUUCCCCCAGCACUCCUCAAGCCUGACUCCUUCUGUUGGUCAGAGCUCAACCUAAACAUCACCUCCUCUGAGAAGGCUUCCAUGAUUAUCUCAUCUCAAGCAGCCGCCCCAUCCCGCAUGUCCCAGCACACUGUCACAUCACUCUGUUUUCAUUGUCCACAGAGCACUUAGCUCCAAUCAGGCGUUUUCACAGUUUAUGUCUUCAUUUAGUGGCUGGUUGCCUUCCUGCCUCCAUGGGCCCCAGGACGGGAGCAGGGAGGAGAAUGGAGCUGUUGGCCCUCUAUGGCCAAGCCCGUCCUCCUUCAGGAGCUGUCCGUGGUUAUUCUGGCCCCUGAGGGUCUACUGUCCCCUGUCCCCCUGCAUUCUUUUCCCGCUGUGGUAACCUGUAAUGUUGCUGGCCCCCAAUGAACCAUUCGCUUCCUGGUGUUCAUGCCCUUGUGAGGUCUCAGUCCACAGUGACUCUGGGCUUGGCCACAUCACUUGUUCUGGCCAAUGAAAUAUUAGCAAGAGUGAUGGAAAUAGAGGUUUGAUAAGCUCUUGCCCAUUGGCCUAGCUGCCAUGCUGUGAGGAAGCCCAAGUCAGACAUGUGGAGAGGACAAGUAGAGGAGAACCAAAGUCCCUGGGAUGACGGCCCAAGCUGGCAGCCUGCUGAGCCCCAGCCGCCAGCCAACAGGAACCACAGCCACAUGGGGAAGCUGCCUUGGGGUUUCACCCCAGCUGAGCCUCCAGCCAACUGCAGCUGUAUAAUUGAUGUCAGCUGACACAACACAAAGCACAAGAACUGUCCAGUCAAUCCAGAGAGUUCUGAGAAAUAAAAAAUCAUUGCUGUUCAA